GGGGCCGACCUGGAUUUGACAGCGGCUUUGUAUUUCGUGUAAGCAUGCCGGGGGUGAGGUGCGCCCCGUAUCCCAGUGCCUCAAUGCUGUAACAGGCAACACAGACUACGCUCUCGCAGCUUAAUAGCCCACGGCUAUUCGGCUUAAUUCGCGCGAAUAACAGUACCGCGAACGAGUACUCCUCGGUGAGGCCCGUCAACCUCCUUGCCGACUACGGGGUGUCAUCAUGGAAGACUGGCCUGUGCGGUGAUCCGUAGUACAGGUAAGACACAGGAUCUAAGUCUUUGGUGGGGUGCCCUUCCCCAGCUAAAGGUCGAAAACCAAUGAAUGGGCUACGCAUGUAGAAAGCUCGUUAUGCGGUUGUUUGGACGAGGGUUCGAUCCCCUCCGGCUCCACAG
RNAcentral lists this transfer-messenger RNA (398 nucleotides) under Flavobacteriales. RNAcentral describes it as "PHOS-HE28 sp016717305 Standard tmRNA". It matches the Rfam family "transfer-messenger RNA". From Rfam's summary of the family: Bacterial tmRNA, also known as 10Sa RNA or SsrA, is named for its dual tRNA and mRNA-like properties. Its role is to liberate the mRNA from a stalled ribosome. To accomplish this part of the tmRNA is used as a reading frame that ends in a translation stop signal. RNAcentral also lists the same sequence under 1 other name. Lineage: Bacteria; Pseudomonadati; Bacteroidota; Flavobacteriia. The record is from RNAcentral.